GACGUAGGCACCAAGCGUUGUCCGGAUUUAUUGGGCGUAAAGAGCUCGUAGGCGGUUCAGUAAGUCGGGUGUGAAAACUUUGGGCUUAACCCAAAGCGUGCAUCCGAUACUGCUGUGACUUGAGUUCGGUAGGGGAGCAGGGAAUUCCUAGUGUAGCGGUGAAAUGCGCAGAUAUUAGGAGGAACACCGGUGGCGAAGGCGCUGCUCUGGGCCGAAACUGACGCUGAGGAGCGAAAGCGUGGGUAGCAAACAGG
Molecule: ribosomal RNA, 254 nt
Filed under: uncultured bacterium
Lineage: Bacteria
Description: partial 16S ribosomal RNA
Rfam family: Bacterial small subunit ribosomal RNA
Source: RNAcentral